This 449-nucleotide ribosomal RNA is filed under the name uncultured bacterium. RNAcentral describes it as "bacterial SSU rRNA". It matches the Rfam family "Bacterial small subunit ribosomal RNA", at positions 28 to 475 of the family's 1533-position model. The record is from RNAcentral.
GAUGAACGCUGGCGGCGUGCUUAACACAUGCAAGUCGAACGAAGCACUUUAUUUGAUUUUUUCGGAAUGAAGAUUUUGUGACUGAGUGGCGGACGGGUGAGUAACGCGUGGGUAACCUGCCUCAUACAGGGGGAUAACAGUUGGAAACGACUGCUAAUACCGCAUAAGCGCACAGGGUCGCAUGACCUGGUGUGAAAAACUCCGGUGGUAUGAGAUGGACCCGCGUCUGAUUAGCCAGUUGGUGGGGUAACGGCCUACCAAAGCGACGAUCAGUAGCCGACCUGAGAGGGUGACCGGCCACAUUGGGACUGAGACACGGCCCAAACUCCUACGGGAGGCAGCAGUGGGGAAUAUUGCACAAUGGGGGAAACCCUGAUGCAGCGACGCCGCGUGAGCGGGGAAGUAUUUCAGUAUGUAAAGCUCUAUCAGCAGGGAAGAAGAAAUGACGG